Molecule: ribosomal RNA, 468 nt
Filed under: uncultured bacterium
Lineage: Bacteria
Description: partial 16S ribosomal RNA
Rfam family: Bacterial small subunit ribosomal RNA
Source: RNAcentral
GACGAACGCUGGCGGCGUGCUUAACACAUGCAAGUCGAACGGAAAGGCCCUGCUUUUGUGGGGUGCUCGAGUGGCGAACGGGUGAGUAACACGUGAGUAACCUGCCCUUGACUUUGGGAUAACUUCAGGAAAAUGGGGCUAAUACCGGAUAGGAGCUCCUGCUGCAUGGUGGGGGUUGGAAAGUUUCGGCGGUUGGGGAUGGACUCGCGGCUUAUCAGCUUGUUGGUGGGGUAGUGGCUUACCAAGGCUUUGACGGGUAGCCGGCAUGAGAGGGUGACCGGCCACAUUGGGACUGAGAUACGGCCCAGACUCCUACGGGAGGCAGCAGUGGGGAAUAUUGCACAAUGGGCGGAAGCCUGAUGCAGCAACGCCGCGUGCGGGAUGACGGCCUUCGGGUUGUAAACCGCUUUCGCCUGUGACGAAGCGUGAGUGACGGUAAUGGGUAAAGAAGCACCGGCUAACUACGUG